GACGAACGCUGGCGGCGUGCCUAAUACAUGCAAGUAGAACGCUGAAGAGAGGAGCUUGCUCUUCUUGGAUGAGUUGCGAACGGGUGAGUAACGCGUAGGUAACCUGCCUUGUAGCGGGGGAUAACUAUUGGAAACGAUAGCUAAUACCGCAUAACAAUGGAUGACACAUGUCAUUUAUUUGAAAGGGGCAAUUGCUCCACUACAAGAUGGACCUGCGUUGUAUUAGCUAGUAGGUGAGGUAAUGGCUCACCUAGGCGACGAUACAUAGCCGACCUGAGAGGGUGAUCGGCCACACUGGGACUGAGACACGGCCCAGACUCCUACGGGAGGCAGCAGUAGGGAAUCUUCGGCAAUGGGGGCAACCCUGACCGAGCAACGCCGCGUGAGUGAAGAAGGUUUUCGGAUCGUAAAGCUCUGUUGUAAGUCAAGAACGGGUGUGAGAGUGGAAAGUUCACACUGUGACGGUAGCUUACCAGAAAGGGACGGCUAACUACGUGCCAGCAGCCGCGGUAAUACGUAGGUCCCGAGCGUUGUCCGGAUUUAUUGGGCGUAAAGCGAGCGCAGGCGGUUUGAUAAGUCUGAAGUUAAAGGCUGUGGCUCAACCAUAGUUCGCUUUGGAAACUGUCAAACUUGAGUGCAGAAGGGGAGAGUGGAAUUCCAUGUGUAGCGGUGAAAUGCGUAGAUAUAUGGAGGAACACCGGUGGCGAAAGCGGCUCUCUGGUCUGUAACUGACGCUGAGGCUCGAAAGCGUGGGGAGCGAACAGGAUUAGAUACCCUGGUAGUCCACGCCGUAAACGAUGAGUGCUAGGUGUUGGAUCCUUUCCGGGAUUCAGUGCCGCAGCUAACGCAUUAAGCACUCCGCCUGGGGAGUACGACCGCAAGGUUGAAACUCAAAGGAAUUGACGGGGGCCCGCACAAGCGGUGGAGCAUGUGGUUUAAUUCGAAGCAACGCGAAGAACCUUACCAGGUCUUGACAUCCCGAUGCUAUUUCUAGAGAUAGAAAGUUACUUCGGUACAUCGGUGACAGGUGGUGCAUGGUUGUCGUCAGCUCGUGUCGUGAGAUGUUGGGUUAAGUCCCGCAACGAGCGCAACCCCUAUUGUUAGUUGCCAUCAUUCAGUUGGGCACUCUAGCGAGACUGCCGGUAAUAAACCGGAGGAAGGUGGGGAUGACGUCAAAUCAUCAUGCCCCUUAUGACCUGGGCUACACACGUGCUACAAUGGUUGGUACAACGAGUUGCGAGUCGGUGACGGCGAGCUAAUCUCUUAAAGCCAAUCUCAGUUCGGAUUGUAGGCUGCAACUCGCCCUACAUGAAGUCGGAAUCGCUAGUAAUCGCGGAUCAGCACGCCGCGGUGAAUACGUUCCCGGGCCU
This 1370-nucleotide ribosomal RNA is filed under the name uncultured bacterium. RNAcentral's name for it is "bacterial SSU rRNA". It matches the Rfam family "Bacterial small subunit ribosomal RNA", at positions 28 to 1381 of the family's 1533-position model. The record is from RNAcentral.